Molecule: ribosomal RNA, 263 nt
Filed under: Ehrlichia sp. Ibadan_A72
Lineage: Bacteria; Pseudomonadati; Pseudomonadota; Alphaproteobacteria; Rickettsiales; Anaplasmataceae
Description: partial 16S ribosomal RNA
Rfam family: Bacterial small subunit ribosomal RNA
Source: RNAcentral
ACUGUAUAAUCCCUGCGGGGGAAAGAUUUAUCGCUAUUAGAUGAGCCUACGUUAGAUUAGCUAGUUGGUAAGGUAAUGGCUUACCAAGGCAAUGAUCUAUAGCUGGUCUGAGAGGACGAUCAGCCACACUGGAACUGAGAUACGGUCCAGACUCCUACGGGAGGCAGCAGUGGGGAAUAUUGGACAAUGGGCGAAAGCCUGAUCCAGCUAUGCCGCGUGAGUAAGAAAGGCCUUCGGGUUGUAAAACUCUUUUAAUAGGGAAG